GCCUGCCCAGUGAUAUUUUUAAACGGCCGCGGUAUCCUAACCGUGCAAAGGUAGCAUAAUCACUUGUCCCCUAAAUAGGGACUAGUAUGAACGGCUAAAUGAGGACUUUACUGUCUCUUGCCGCCAGUCAAUGAAACUGAUCUUCCAGUUCAAAAGCUGGAAUAACACCAUAAGACAAAAAGACCCUGUGGAGCUUUUAAACCAAAACCACCAAAAAUUGUCCACUUGGUUUUUAGUUGGGGCGACUUCGGGGUAAAACCAAACCCCCGAAACAAUGGAACCUACCAUAUUAAGGCCAACACGCCAAAAUAACUUAAAACUUGACCCAGAUCUUUUAAUAUCUGACCAAUGAACCAAGUUACCCCAGGGAUAACAGCGCCAUCUUCUUUUAGAGUCCAUAUCGACAAGAAGGUUUACGACCUCGAUGUUGGAUCAGGACACCCCAAUAGUGCAGCCGCUAUUAACGGUUCGUUUGUUCAACGAUUAACAGUCCUACGUGAUCUGAGU
This 507-nucleotide ribosomal RNA is filed under the name Gallotia atlantica (Atlantic lizard). RNAcentral describes it as "partial 16S ribosomal RNA". It matches the Rfam family "Bacterial large subunit ribosomal RNA", at positions 1857 to 2610 of the family's 2925-position model. Lineage: Eukaryota; Metazoa; Chordata; Lepidosauria; Squamata; Lacertidae. The record is from RNAcentral.